Molecule: ribosomal RNA, 449 nt
Filed under: uncultured soil bacterium
Lineage: Bacteria
Description: bacterial SSU rRNA
Rfam family: Bacterial small subunit ribosomal RNA
Source: RNAcentral
AGAGCGAACGCUGGCGGCAGGCUUAACACAUGCAAGUCGAGCGCCCGUAGCAAUACGGGAGCGGCAGACGGGUGAGUAACACGUGGGAACGUACCCUUUGGUUCGGAACAACUCCGGGAAACUGGAGCUAAUACCGGAUAAGCCCUUAACGGGGGAAAGAUUUAUCGCCAAAGGAUCGGCCCGCGUCUGAUUAGCUAGUUGGUGAGGUAACGGCUCACCAAGGCGACGAUCAGUAGCUGGUCUGAGAGGAUGAUCAGCCACAUUGGGACUGAGACACGGCCCAAACUCCUACGGGAGGCAGCAGUGGGGAAUAUUGGACAAUGGGCGCAAGCCUGAUCCAGCCAUGCCGCGUGAGUGAUAGGAACGGCCCGUAGGGUUGUAAAGCUUCUUUCGGACGGGGAAGAUAAGUGACGGUACCGUAGAAGAACGCCCCGGACUAACGUUCGUCG